AGGGCACCACCAGGAGUGGAGCCUGCGGCUUAAUUUGACUCAACACGGGAAACCUCACCCGGCCCGGACACGGACAGGAUUGACAGAUCGAUAGCUCUUUCUCGAUUCCGUGGGUGGUGGUGCAUGGCCGUUCUUAGUUGGUGGAGCGAUUUGUCUGGUUAAUUCCGAUAACGAACGAGACUCUGGCAUGCUAACUAGUUACGCGACCCCCCGAGCGGUCGGCGUCCCCCAACUUCUUAGAGGGACAAGUGGCGUUCAGCCACCCGAGAUUGAGCAAUAACAGGUCUGUGGUGCCCUUAGAUGUCCGGGGCUGCACGCGCGCUACACUGACUGGCUCAGCGUGUGCCUACCCUACGCCGGCAGGCGCGGGUAACCCGUUGAACCCCAUUCGUGAUGGGGAUCGGGGAUUGCAAUUAUUCCCCAUGAACGAGGAAUUCCCAGUAAGUGCGGGUCAUAAGCUUGCGUUGAUUAAGUCCCUGCCCUUUGUACACACCGCCCGUCGCUACUACCGAUUGGAUG
This 519-nucleotide ribosomal RNA is filed under the name uncultured eukaryote. RNAcentral describes it as "SSU rRNA". It matches the Rfam family "Eukaryotic small subunit ribosomal RNA", at positions 1161 to 1695 of the family's 1831-position model. The record is from RNAcentral.